CUUGGUCAUUUAGAGGAAGUAAAAGUCGUAACAAGGUCUCCGUUGGUGAACCAGCGGAGGGAUCAUUAUCGAGUUAUUCAACUCCCAAACCCUAUGUGAACUUACCACUUGUUGCUUCGGCGCGCGCUUCGGCGCCGCCGAGGACACUUAAACUCUUUGUUUUUAUAAGCAUUUCUGAGUGGCCGAAAGGCAAAAAUACAAAUGAAUCAAAACUUUCAACAACGGAUCUCUUGGUUCUGGCAUCGAUGAAGAACGCAGCGAAAUGCGAUAAGUAAUGUGAAUUGCAGAAUUCAGUGAAUCAUCGAAUCUUUGAACGCACAUUGCGCCCGCCAGCAUUCUGGCGGGCAUGCCUGUUCGAGCGUCAUUUCAACCCUCGAGCCCGACUCUUCUGAGGACGGCUCGGCGUUGGGGGACGGCAGACUCCCCCCGGCAUCUCGCCGGGGACGCCGCCCCCGAAAUCUAGUGGCGGCCCUCCGAGGCGACCUCUGCGUAGUAACUUGUUCUCGCACCGGAAGCUCAGAGCGGCCACGCCGUAAAACCCCAACUUUUUUCAGGUUGACCUCGAAUCAGGUAGGACUACCCGCUGAACUUAAGCAUAUCAAUAAGCGGAGGA
Molecule: ribosomal RNA, 613 nt
Filed under: uncultured fungus
Lineage: Eukaryota; Fungi
Description: eukaryotic LSU rRNA
Rfam family: 5.8S ribosomal RNA (bases 211-364)
Source: RNAcentral